RNAcentral lists this ribosomal RNA (21 nucleotides) under Sporobolus diandrus. Its description in RNAcentral is "partial 28S ribosomal RNA". Lineage: Eukaryota; Viridiplantae; Streptophyta; Magnoliopsida; Poales; Poaceae. The record is from RNAcentral.
AUGACCCCAGGUCAGUAAGGA